UUUAAAUUGAGAGUUUGAUCCUGGCUCAGGACGAUCGCUGGCGGCGUGCCUAACACAUGCAAGUCGAGCGAUGAAGCUUCCUUCGGGGAGUGGAUUAGCGGCGGACGGGUGAGUAACACGUGGGUAACCUGCCUCAAAGAGGGGGAUAGCCUCCCGAAAGGGAGAUUAAUACCGCAUAACAUUAUUUUAUGGCAUCAUAGAAUAAUCAAAGGAGCAAUCCGCUUUGAGAUGGACCCGCGGCGCAUUAGCUAGUUGGUGAGGUAAGGGCUCACCAAGGCGACGAUGCGUAGCCGACCUGAGAGGGUGAUCGGCCACAUUGGAACUGAGACACGGUCCAGACUCCUACGGGAGGCAGCAGUGGGGAAUAUUGCGCAAUGGGGGGAACCCUGACGCAGCAACGCCGCGUGAGUGAUGAAGGUUUUCGGAUCGUAAAACUCUGUCUUUAGGGACGAUAAUGACGGUACCUAAGGAGGAAGCCACGGCUAACUACGUGCCAGCAGCCGCGGUAAUACGUAGGUGGCAAGCGUUGUCCGGAUUUACUGGGCGUAAAGAGUAUGUAGGUGGGUGCUUAAGUCAGAUGUGAAAUUCCCGGGCUUAACCUGGGCGCUGCAUUUGAAACUGGGCAUCUAGAGUGCAGGAGAGGAAAGUGGAAUUCCUAGUGUAGCGGUGAAAUGCGUAGAGAUUAGGAAGAACACCAGUGGC
RNAcentral lists this ribosomal RNA (702 nucleotides) under Clostridium botulinum C. RNAcentral describes it as "bacterial SSU rRNA". It matches the Rfam family "Bacterial small subunit ribosomal RNA", at positions 1 to 716 of the family's 1533-position model. Lineage: Bacteria; Bacillati; Bacillota; Clostridia; Eubacteriales; Clostridiaceae. The record is from RNAcentral.